GUGGAUAUAGCGCAGUUGGUUAGAGCGCCAGUUUGUGGCACUGGAGGUCAUGGGUUCGAAUCCCAUUUUCCACCCCA
This 77-nucleotide transfer RNA is filed under the name Clostridium sp. CAG:465. RNAcentral describes it as "transfer RNA-His(GTG)". It matches the Rfam family "tRNA". From Rfam's summary of the family: Transfer RNA (tRNA) molecules are approximately 80 nucleotides in length. Their secondary structure includes four short double-helical elements and three loops (D, anti-codon, and T loops). Further hydrogen bonds mediate the characteristic L-shaped molecular structure. tRNAs have two regions of fundamental functional importance: the anti-codon, which is responsible for specific mRNA codon recognition, and the 3' end, to which the tRNAs corresponding amino acid is attached (by aminoacyl-tRNA synthetases). tRNAs cope with the degeneracy of the genetic code in two manners: having more than one tRNA (with a specific anti-codon) for a particular amino acid; and 'wobble' base-pairing, i.e. permitting non-standard base-pairing at the 3rd anti-codon position. Lineage: Bacteria; Bacillati; Bacillota; Clostridia; Eubacteriales; Clostridiaceae. The record is from RNAcentral. RNAcentral also lists the same sequence under 1 other name.